This 277-nucleotide ribosomal RNA is filed under the name uncultured SAR86 cluster bacterium. RNAcentral's name for it is "partial 16S ribosomal RNA". It matches the Rfam family "Bacterial small subunit ribosomal RNA", at positions 1257 to 1532 of the family's 1533-position model. The record is from RNAcentral. Lineage: Bacteria; Pseudomonadati; Pseudomonadota; Gammaproteobacteria.
GCGAGGUGGUGCUAAUCCUAGAAAAUUCUUCGUAGUCCGGAUUGGAGUCUGCAACUCGACGUCCAUGAAGUCGGAAUCGCUAGUAAUCGCGAAUCAGCAUGUCGCGGUGAAUACGUUCUCGGGUCUUGUACACACCGCCCGUCACACCAUGGAAGUGGAUUGCACCAGAAGUAGAUAGUCUAACCUUCGGGAGGGCGUUUACCACGGUGUGCUUCAUGACUGGGGUGAAGUCGUAACAAGGUAGCCGUAGGGGAACCUGUGGCUGGAUCACCUCCUU